CCUUCGGUUGGCAAGUAAGAACUAAGCUUUUAACUGGCUGAAUUAAUUGAGGUGCUGGGGAUGCGAUGGCCAUAAAAACUGACAUGCUUCCACAGAGCUUGCAGCCCAGUGGAAAGAGAAAAGAGAGGGACAACAAUGGAAUCCUUGUCUUUCCAAUCUUAUAAAGAAUAUGGAAAUCCCUCACGUCUUACAUGGGAGCUCUUCAGAUUCCAAGAUUCCAUCACUCCUCAACACUUCUCCUGCCUCUCUCACCUGGAUGAUUGCAUUACCCUCCCAACUAGUUCCGCCAACCCCCCACCCGACCCCACUGCUUCUUCCCCCUACAGUUCAUUCUUAGCCAAACAGAUUCUUUUAAAACUAAGCCAAGUUGUGUUACCACAGUGCUCAAAACUCUCCAGGUUACCCAGAAAAUCAAAACCACAAGGAGAUACAACUUCACACUCACUGGGAUGGCUAUAAUCGAAAAGACAGAUAAUAACACAUGUUGGUCAGGAUGCGAUGAAAUUGGGACCCUCAUACACUGCUGGUGGGAACGUAAAAUGGUGCAGCUGUUUUGAAAAAUAAUCUGGCAGUUUCUCCAAUGGUUAAACAUUUCUAUUCCUCACCUAAGAGAGGAAUUUCUGGCUAGUUGACUUGAUAUCCCCCAGGUAGCUUUCCUACAAUAACCCUGUGGGGGCUUGACUCAACACUUCUACUCCUAAGUGAGAAACAGAAAUGAAAACAUAUUUCCUCACCAAAACUUGUACCUGAAUGUUCAUAGGAGUAUUAUUCAUAAUUGCUACAAAGUGGAAACAACCCAAAUACCUAUUAACCGAUGAAUAAAUUAAAAAUGGUAUAUACAGUGGAAUAUUAGCCAGUAAUGAAAAGAAAUGCAGUAUUAAUACAUGCUACAACACUGCUGAAUCUGAAAACACAGCCCAAAAGAAGCCAGUCACCAAAAAUCACAUUUUAUGUGAGUCCAUUUAUACGAAAUGUCCAGAAUAGGCAAAUCCAUAGAGAAAGAAGGCAGAUUAAUAGAUGUCUAGCACAGAGGGACUUGAGGGUAAGUGGGGAAUGGCUGUGGAAUUUCUCGUUGGGGUGAUGAACAUAUUCUAAAAUUGAUUGUUGUGAU
RNAcentral lists this long non-coding RNA (1111 nucleotides) under Homo sapiens (human). RNAcentral's name for it is "HSALNT0043600". Lineage: Eukaryota; Metazoa; Chordata; Mammalia; Primates; Hominidae. The record is from RNAcentral.